UACUGAUAAAGGCAAACUGCGAGUAAUCGUAGGACGUCCCGAUUGUAAGAUCGGGACUCCGACCAGAGCGUCGGAGCAAAGCGACAGUGCUUGACAUCUUUGAUGUCAAGCAGGCUGCGUUGUCAAA
RNAcentral lists this non-coding RNA (127 nucleotides) under Candidatus Omnitrophota bacterium. RNAcentral describes it as "Omnitrophica WOR c-di-GMP sequence". It matches the Rfam family "c-di-GMP-I riboswitch aptamer". From Rfam's summary of the family: GEMM was predicted in a large-scale screen for bacterial structured RNA regulatory elements. Genes associated with GEMM are involved in a diverse array of functions, including chemotaxis regulation, signal transduction, secretion and chitin. The record is from RNAcentral. Lineage: Bacteria; Pseudomonadati; Candidatus Omnitrophota.